RNAcentral lists this ribosomal RNA (29 nucleotides) under Libyostrongylus douglassi. RNAcentral describes it as "partial 28S ribosomal RNA". Lineage: Eukaryota; Metazoa; Nematoda; Chromadorea; Rhabditida; Trichostrongylidae. The record is from RNAcentral. RNAcentral also lists the same sequence under 1 other name.
UGCAACCUGAGCUCAGGCGUGAUUACCCG